AGCGAACGCUAGCGGCGAGCUUAACACAUGCAAGUCGAGCGGAGGGUUUCGGCCCUCAGCGGCGGACGGGUGAGUAACACGUAGGUUACGUGCCCUUUGGUGGGGAAUAACUUAGGGAAACCUGAGCUAAUACCGCAUAUGCCCUUCGGGUGAAAGUCUUCGGACGCCAGAGGAUCGGCCUGCGGCCCAUUAUUUAAUCCUCGUUGGUGGGUAACGGCCUACCAAGGUACGAUGGUAGCUGGUCUGAGAGGAUGAUCAGCCACACUGGGACUGAGACACGGCCCAGACUCCUACGGGAGGCAGC
RNAcentral lists this ribosomal RNA (304 nucleotides) under uncultured bacterium. Its description in RNAcentral is "bacterial SSU rRNA". It matches the Rfam family "Bacterial small subunit ribosomal RNA", at positions 29 to 352 of the family's 1533-position model. The record is from RNAcentral.